RNAcentral lists this ribosomal RNA (345 nucleotides) under uncultured soil bacterium. RNAcentral's name for it is "bacterial SSU rRNA". It matches the Rfam family "Bacterial small subunit ribosomal RNA", at positions 26 to 370 of the family's 1533-position model. The record is from RNAcentral.
AGAACGAACGCUGGCGGCGUGGAUAAGACAUGCAAGUCGAACGGAGUAUUUUUUGAAGCUUGCUUUAAAAAAUGCUUAGUGGCGAACGGGUGAGUAACACGUGAGUUACCUGCCCCGAAGCGGGGGAUAGCCCGAAGAAAUUCGGAUUAAUACCCCAUGUGAUCGAAAGAUUAAAGGCGGCGUAAGCUGUCGCUUCGGGAUGGGCUCGCGCCUAUCGAGCUUGUUGUGAGGUAAUGGCUCACCAAGGCGAUGACGGGUAGCUGAUCUGAGAGAUGAUCAGUCACACUGGAACUGACACGACGGUCAGACACCGUACGGUGGACAGCGAGUCGAAGAAUCAGUUCG